This 301-nucleotide ribosomal RNA is filed under the name uncultured bacterium. RNAcentral describes it as "partial 16S ribosomal RNA". It matches the Rfam family "Bacterial small subunit ribosomal RNA", at positions 509 to 807 of the family's 1533-position model. The record is from RNAcentral.
CAGCCGCCGCGGUAAUACGAGGGGAGCUAGCGUUAUUCGGAAUUACUGGGCGUAAAGCGCACGUAGGCGGCUUUGUAAGUUAGAGGUGAAAGCCCAGAGCUCAACUCUGGAAUUGCCUUUAAGACUGCAUCGCUUGAAUCCAGGAGAGGUGAGUGGAAUUCCGAGUGUAGAGGUGAAAUUCGUAGAUAUUCGGAAGAACACCAGUGGCGAAGACGGCUCACUGGACUGGUAUUGACGCUGAGGUGCGAAAGCGUGGGGAGCAAACAGGAUUAGAUACCCCCGUAGUCCCUGUCUCUUAUAC